GUUAGCUACACGCCGCGUUGAUAUCCGUGGUGCUAGGAGGAGAUGGGGUGUCGCGGUGUUCUUCAUGAUGAAAGCACUAUUCCUGAAAGGAGGCACAAGCUCAGCAAGAUUGUACUCAGGCUGUCUAGAGAGCUGGUCUGAACAAGAGGUUGCUGCAUGACUCAGCAGGCUUUGCAUGUGACUUCAAGGCAGGCAGCUCCUUAAUCAAGGGUUGGAGGCCAGCUUCACCUGUUUUGUAAUUUUCUUUCAGUUUAUUCCUGGUUUGGUGUUUCUGCCUUUGCUUUUGUUCUUGCGUUUGGUUUGCCCCGCUCCUUCCUUGUCACAGACCCGGGAGGUUCUGGCAUGCGGACGUGGCAUAGUGCGGGCAGGAACAGAAUGUGAACAAACCCACUGGUGGCUAACAGAAACACGGGGAGUUUAUUAAACAAAACUGAACACACUAAGAACACUACAAAAUUAAUGGACCACAAGGGGUCAAAACUAAAAAGGGGAAAGACAAAGACUAAUUUCAAAAGGUCGGAGCAACAAGGAGCAGGUAGGCAGGCAACAAAUAACAAAACACAUUGUAACCACUAAGACAUGAAAUACACCUUAUGAGCUGCAAGAAAUACUACACUGACAAGCAUCAACAUCAUUGACUCCAAAAAGAAACAGAACAGGAUCAGGAACUUAAAUACAAAAGGUUGACAAGGAUAAUUCAGGGCAUAUGAAAACAAUUAACUAAUUGAGGAGGGUGCAGGACAAGGAGCAAAUAGGGUAGAACACACAAGGACUGGCACAAGAAAACAGGCAACAGGUGAAACUAAUAAUUAACUCAAGGAACUCAAACUAACAAACCAAGAAACAGAAUCUAACACUAGGGAACAAAGACAGGUAACACAACCAAGGCACAAAGAAAGAAACCAAAACCGAAUACAAAUCACAAAACACAGGAACUAGAAAACUGAUACAAAUGAAACACAAAGGAACAAAAUCUACAAAAAUACAAAAACAGAAGAGGUGGGAUUUGAACACAA
Molecule: long non-coding RNA, 1016 nt
Organism: Paramormyrops kingsleyae
Lineage: Eukaryota; Metazoa; Chordata; Actinopteri; Osteoglossiformes; Mormyridae
Source: RefSeq, a predicted model, not a curated record